Molecule: ribosomal RNA, 305 nt
Filed under: uncultured bacterium
Lineage: Bacteria
Description: bacterial SSU rRNA
Rfam family: Bacterial small subunit ribosomal RNA
Source: RNAcentral
UGGCCUACGGGAGGCAGCAGUGGGGAAUAUUGCACAAUGGGGGAAACCCUGAUGCAGCGACGCCGCGUGAGUGAAGAAGUAUUUCGGUAUGUAAAGCUCUGUCAGCAGGGAAGAAGAAAGACGGUACCUGACCAAGAAGUCCCGGCUAAAUACGUGCCAGCAGCCGCGGUAAUACGUAUGGGGCAAGCGUUAUCCGGAUUUACUGGGUGUAAAGGGAGCGUAGGCGGCAGGGCAAGCCUGAUGUGAAAGCCCGGGGCUCAACCCCGGGACUGCAUUGGGAACUGCCCUGCUGGAGUGCCGGAGGG